RNAcentral lists this ribosomal RNA (453 nucleotides) under Triticum aestivum (bread wheat). RNAcentral's name for it is "partial small subunit ribosomal RNA". The record is from RNAcentral. Lineage: Eukaryota; Viridiplantae; Streptophyta; Magnoliopsida; Poales; Poaceae.
AUGGAAAAAGGUCAAGGGAGCGGAUCGGUGAAGGCGCCGCCAGAGCCGGUCGAGGCGCUGCUUGGAAGGUUAACCCUAGUGGAGGAGGCUGAUGAGGAGUUCGUAUGGAAAGAUGAGGUAACUGAUCACCCAGAGAAGGCUAAGUGGCUGGCCAUAGCCAAAGUGCAUACAACAAGGGGCUUCAGCUCCGGUGCUCUCUUCGCCGACAUGAGAUCGGCCUGGAAUCCAGCGAGAGAUGUUGUUUGGAGGAGGAUCGAGGGGAACCUUUUCACGAUCCAAUUCGACUGUCUCGGCGACUGGAAUAAAGCAAUGAGCCAGGGGCCAUGGUUGUUCAGAAAUCAAGUUCUGCUGAUAGAAGAAUAUGAUGGGUUUGCAAACCCAAGGACAAUCGUCCUUGAUAAAGUGGAUGUCUGGGCACGUGUGCUUAAAUUGCCGGACUGUUGGGGAACGUAG